RNAcentral lists this transfer-messenger RNA (353 nucleotides) under Dehalococcoidia. RNAcentral's name for it is "JACPCL1 sp016179765 Standard tmRNA". It matches the Rfam family "transfer-messenger RNA". Rfam says of the family: Bacterial tmRNA, also known as 10Sa RNA or SsrA, is named for its dual tRNA and mRNA-like properties. Its role is to liberate the mRNA from a stalled ribosome. RNAcentral also lists the same sequence under 1 other name. Lineage: Bacteria; Bacillati; Chloroflexota. The record is from RNAcentral.
GGGGACGCGUGGGUUCGACAGGGGAUGACUCUGCCGGAUUGCAGGCCGAGGCGCCGUCACACCUCGUUAAACCGGCGGCAAAACAGUAAACGCCAAGCCUCAACUGGCUCUAGCCGCCUAAGGCGGCUACGUCUGCCCAAGCCUACCUCCGAGGGUAAGGAGCAGGCGACUUCAAAUCGGAGUGCUGUCCUGCUGACGCCGAUGGGCAGGGCCUAAGACCUUCGGCUGGCGAGGGUGGGUAUCCCGCCGGCGGAGCACCAUCCUGGCGAGACACUAAAAGCUGGACACGCCUGUAGCAUAUCCGCGUAGAGUAUCUUCUGGACGGGGAGUUCAACUCUCCCCCGUCUCCACCA